UGGUCUGUAGUGUAGGUGGUUAUCACAUGAACCUCUCACGUUCAUGACCUGGAUUCAAGUCCCAGCGGGGGAA
Thalassiosira oceanica is the source of this 73-nucleotide transfer RNA. It matches the Rfam family "tRNA". Rfam says of the family: Transfer RNA (tRNA) molecules are approximately 80 nucleotides in length. Their secondary structure includes four short double-helical elements and three loops (D, anti-codon, and T loops). Further hydrogen bonds mediate the characteristic L-shaped molecular structure. tRNAs have two regions of fundamental functional importance: the anti-codon, which is responsible for specific mRNA codon recognition, and the 3' end, to which the tRNAs corresponding amino acid is attached (by aminoacyl-tRNA synthetases). tRNAs cope with the degeneracy of the genetic code in two manners: having more than one tRNA (with a specific anti-codon) for a particular amino acid; and 'wobble' base-pairing, i.e. permitting non-standard base-pairing at the 3rd anti-codon position. The record is from Rfam. Lineage: Eukaryota; Bacillariophyta; Thalassiosirophyceae; Thalassiosirales; Thalassiosiraceae.